Molecule: long non-coding RNA, 1699 nt
Organism: Passer domesticus (house sparrow)
Lineage: Eukaryota; Metazoa; Chordata; Aves; Passeriformes; Passeridae
Exons: 2
Source: RefSeq, a predicted model, not a curated record
GAAUAUUUCUCUUCAGCUCUGUGUAAACACCUAAAGAGAGACCCCAGAACAUUUCCCUUCAGUUUUGUGUAAAUACCUAAACAGAUCCCACAACAUUUCCCUCUAGCUCUGGGUAAAUACCUAAAGAGACCCUACAACAUUUCCCUUCAGCUCUCUGUAAAUACUUCAGGGACAAAAAGCAAAAAAAUAUCUAAAAACACAGAACCCUCUGGUGUGAAACUUCAUAUGAAGUUCUAUAAACACAGAGCAAGACAGUUCCCAGUCUUUCAGGCAGGUGGAAGGGAUCAGUAAUUAAUUAAAUCAUUAAGUUUGGGUGAAAGCAAUUCAGUGCUGCUGCCCUGCCCUAUUUAAGCCCAGGUGCUCCUUCCCAAGCUCUGCUGGGAACUUCUUGGAGAAAUUUCCUUUGCAAGUGGCCUAGGAGUGGUGUGAGCCUGGAAUGAGGAUCUGUGUCUGCUCCUGAAGGCUCUGUUGGUGCCCAAACCCCUUGGACUCCCAGGAGAAGGCUGUGAGCAGGGUUUUUGUGAGCAGGAUUUGCUCUGCACACCUCGGCCAUGGGGAAUGAGCUUAGUCACAGGAGGUACUGCAGGAGGUUCAGGAGGUUUGAAAGGCUGCCAGCUGAGGAGGGAACAGCUGUCCCUGAUGUCCCCGAUGACCCCAGGACCCAGCCAGCCCCGGGUGAAGGGUUUGUGAGCCACCCUGAGAAGGAGGAGCCCCAGGGAGCUGCUGCAGGACUGCAGGGCACAGAGCAAGGAAGGAAAAGGGAAACGGCCUCGUGUUCUCCACCUGUGAAUGCCCAGGGAAUGCUGAGCAGCUCAGAGCUGCAGGAGGCUGGGGACAAUCCCCCUGCUAUAAAUGCAGGUGGAAAAACUCCUGCUCCAAGUCCGGGAAGAGCUGAGCCAGCUGGAGGGCACACAGAGGUGACAACAGGGGACUUCCCUCUGCAGCCUGCAGUGGAGGUGGGAGAGGAGGAGAGCAAGCAGGGCACAGUGAAAAGCAGCUCAGGGUCGCACAAGAGACCCAGCACCAGGCAGUGCAGGGCCAGCCCUCUCUGCAGGUGGCUGAAGAACCUCAGGAGCCCAGCAGAAAAACCUAAAGCCAAGCCUGGAGCAGCCAGCAGCCAAGAGUGAGGCUCCUGUGGGCUGGAAAAGGAUCAAGUGCCCAAUGUGAUACCUGCAGAAAAGAAAAAAGACUGGUAAAUAUACACAUAUACAAUAAGAGGAAGUUAUUUUUGUCAUCUUGAAACUGCUUGUCUGCUGGAUACUCCUGGCUGUCCUGGAGCACAGAAACAUUCCCUCUGGAAGGGUGGAGCAGGGAAAUGAAGUGGCUCUGUUCCCUCAGCCAGCAGCUUGUGAGGAUUGUCUGGCUCUGCUCUCACUGGGGACUGGUCUGAAAGCUCCUUUUUGAAACCCUGAAAGGUGCAGCUUUGGAUCUUCCUGGUGCUUCUGUCAUUAUUUGAUUUUCUUUCCCUGUUGGUAAUAACUUGUUCUGCUUAAUGGCCCAAGAGAAGGAUGAGUUGCAUCAGUGUUAUCACCUAAAUUAAUUGAUUAUAAAAUGUAGCUGCUUACAAAUGCACAAUGGUGGUGGUGGGUGCUGUGGGGGAGGCUUCGUGAACCAGGGGCUCCAGUUUUGCUGCUGGAAGUGUUUGCUUUUUGUACUUUUGGAUCUGGAAAUCAAUAAAAGCCACUUUCACUGCCUCCAA